AAACUUUAAUUUUUUUUUUUAUGAACUAUCAUAAAAUUGCUGUUCGCAGCUAUAGCGAUAAAUGUUUGGUUUGUGAACUGGAACGGACCCGGGGGCGGUACCCGGCGCCUCCACCAAAAUAAUGGGGGCGAAAUAGGAUCGACGUACAUGGGAAUAAUCAAAACUUCGCUCGGAAUGGUACCAACGUUAUCGGACUAAACUUUAUAAAUGCCAACGAUAAUGAAAUGGCAAUCGCUGCUUAAUUAAUUAAGUAAGCGCGGUUGUGAGACACCGGGCAACAGAAGUCUCAUCG
This 292-nucleotide transfer-messenger RNA is filed under the name Rickettsiales bacterium. It matches the Rfam family "Alphaproteobacteria transfer-messenger RNA". From Rfam's summary of the family: Bacterial tmRNA, also known as 10Sa RNA or SsrA, is named for its dual tRNA and mRNA-like properties. Its role is to liberate the mRNA from a stalled ribosome. The record is from RNAcentral. Lineage: Bacteria; Pseudomonadati; Pseudomonadota; Alphaproteobacteria; Rickettsiales.